AGCGUAGACGGUGUGGCAAGUCUGAUGUGAAAGGCGUGGGCUCAACCUGUGGACUGCAUUGGAAACUGUCAUACUUGAGUGCCGGAGGGGUAAGCGGAAUUCCUAGUGUAGCGGUGAAAUGCGUAGAUAUUAGGAGGAACACCAGUGGCGAAGGCGGCUUACUGGACGGUAACUGACGUUGAGGCUCGAAAGCGUGGGGAGCAAACA
This 207-nucleotide ribosomal RNA is filed under the name uncultured bacterium. RNAcentral's name for it is "partial 16S ribosomal RNA". It matches the Rfam family "Bacterial small subunit ribosomal RNA", at positions 568 to 774 of the family's 1533-position model. The record is from RNAcentral.